CAGGGGUGCUGGGGCCCUGAAUCACAUUUUUGAAGUCUUUGUACUGUAUUUUAAAGAGCUAGUCAUCAAAACCUGUCACUGCCAACCAAAAAGAAAAGCUAAACUUAAAAAAAAAAAAAACAAAAAACAAAAAGAAACCCAAAGAAACACACACACACACACACACACAACAGUACACACAAAAAUGUGCAGAUCUGUAACAUUUUUUUUUCACAGCUGAUAAAAAAAAAAAAAAAUACUACCGUUCUCCCCCAGACUCCCCUUUGAUACAGUAGGUAAACAAAAUAGAUUUUUUUUUUUUCCACAAAUAUCAGCAGACACUUUCUGGCACCCCACACUGCAUUGGCAUCAGUGUUUACAGUCCCAGUUCAGAUGUGCAUACUUCAGAUUGGAUACACUGUAACAAGAAUCCAACUUUGCAUAGACAUCCUUAGAAUCACAAUCAGUCACAGGGUUGCCCUUCCAAGCUGGCAGAAAAGGAACCCGAUCUUUAAUUUCCAGCUCCUCCUGGAAAAAAAAAAAAAAAAAAAAAAAGGAAAGAAAAAAAAUAAAAAAUAAAAAAAAAAAAGCCAACACAAAAGUUUCUUCCCUUCCUCCUGUCCUGCUCCUUCAUUUGGUUCUCCCGGACUUCCUUCCAUGUGGAACUACAAAAAGGGGUGGUUGGAGGCAAAAGAAAAAAAAUAAAAAUAAAAAAAAAAAAAGGAAAAAUUGCCCCCUCCCUUUCUACCUCCCCACCCCAUUUAUUUAUUUAUUUUUAUUUAUUUUCUUUUUCUUUUUUUUUUUUUUUGCAGGCUGAAACUUUGGCCCGUGUCGAGCUGCCCACACAGCGCCCUAACGGCUCCUUACGCGGGGAGUGGGGUGGAAAAAUCCGCGUCUCCCGGGGUCCACGAGCAGCGUGCAUGCAGCAGGAGCCGCACCGCCCCCGGGGCUGCACCGGGGCUGCACCGGGGCUGCACCGGGGCUGCACCGGGGCUCGGAGGGGGAGGUCAGCGGAGGUCGGCGGAGGUCGGUGGAGGUCGGCGGAGGUCAGCGGAGGUCGGCGGGGGUCGGGAGCCGGGCGGUGCAGCCCAGCCGGGCCCCCGGCACCCCCGCGAACAGCUCGUCCACCGAGGCUUUGUUUUUGGCCGACGUCUCCAUGAAGGGGCAGCUCCACUCCUCGGCCAGGGCCUUGCCCUCGCCGUACGACACCUCGCGCUCGCCCUCCAGGUCCACCUUGUUGCCCACCAGGAUCAUGGGCACGCGCUCGUACCGCUUGACGCGGAUGAUCUGGUCCCGCAUGGGCUUGAUGUCCUGGAAGCUCUGCUGGUUGACCAGGCUGUAGACGAGGAUGAAGCCCUGGCCGUUCUUGAUGUACAGGUCCCGCAUGGACGCGAACUGCUCGGUGCCCGCCGUGUCCAGGAUCUCGAGCACCGACGGCGACGAGUCCACCUCGAUCUCCUUGCGGUAGAAGUCCUCGAUGGUGGGGUCGUACUUCUCGAUGAAGGAGCCGGUCACGAACUGCACGGUGAGCGCCGACUUGCCCACGCCGCCCGAGCCCAGCACCACCACCUUGUACUCUCUCAUGGCUCCGCCGGCGCCCUCGCCGCGCCCGCCGCGGCCCCGUCGGGGGUGCGCGCCGCGGGGCGCCUGGGCUCGUCGGCUGCACGACCUGCCCCCGGGCUCAGCCUGGCGGCGGCGGCGGCGCGGCGGCGGCGGCGGCGCGGGAGGACAAUGCCGGCGGCCCGGGCGGCGGGAGGCGGCGGCGGCGGCGGCGGCGGCGGGCUGCCGGGGGGGCUGCUGCUACGUGCGCGCCGGCCCGGGCCGCGCGUGGCAUGGGGCCCCGCAGACCGUGCGCCCACCGCCGCGGCCCAGCGCGCUCUCCCCGCAGCCUCCGCGGGGCGACGGCUUCCUACUCGCCGCGCGCAGCCCGGCCCUCCCCGCCCCGGCGAGCAUGCCCAGUGCGCCGACGGCCGCGCCCGCGCCAGCCGCCGCGCCGGGUUUUCCGGGGGGCCGGGCGAGGGGGCGGGGCCGCGCGGGGAGGGGCGGGGCCGGGGCGGGGCCUCCCCGGGAG
Molecule: long non-coding RNA, 2050 nt
Filed under: Canis lupus familiaris (dog)
Lineage: Eukaryota; Metazoa; Chordata; Mammalia; Carnivora; Canidae
Description: lncRNA (ENSCAFG00030012754.1)
Source: RNAcentral